GAUGAAGAACGUAGCGAAAUGCGAUAAGUAAUGUGAAUUGCAGAAUUCAGUGAAUCAUCGAAUCUUUGAACGCACCUUGCACCCUUUGGCAUUCCGAAGGGUAUGCUCGUUUGAGUGUCAUUGUACUCUCACACUCCCAAUUGCUUUGGAUUGGGAGCGGUGGACUUGGGUGUUGCUGCUUGACUGAGGCUCACCUGAAAUAUGUUAGUGCACCUCUUGAUUGGACAUAGUACGGCGUGAUAAGUGUCUUCGCCGGCUCCUCGCAAAGAGGGUGGCCGAUCGGGAGCUCUGUUGCUUCAAACUGUCUUCGGACAAUCUUCUGGCGACUUGACCUCAAAUCGAGUAGGACUACCCGCUGAACUUAAGCAUAUCAAUAACGGAGGA
Molecule: unclassified non-coding RNA, 384 nt
Filed under: soil metagenome
Description: partial contains 5.8S ribosomal RNA, internal transcribed spacer 2, and large subunit ribosomal RNA
Rfam family: 5.8S ribosomal RNA (bases 1-120)
Source: RNAcentral